ACGGGGUGCACCAGGCGAGAAAACUUUGCAAUGUGCGAAAGCACGACAAGGUUAAUCCGAGUGAUUUCUGCUAAAGGAAUCUUUUGUCAGUCCUAGAAACACUGUUGAAUAAGGGGUGGGCAAGUCCUGGUGUCAGCCGCCGCGGUAAAACCAGCACCUCAAGUGGUCAGGAUGAUUAUUGGGCCUAAAGCAUCCGUAGCCUGCUUUGUAAGUUUCCGGUUAAAUCCAUUAGCUUAACUUAUGGGCCGCCGGAAAAACUGCAAAGCUAGGGAGUGGGAGAGGUAGACGGUACUCGGUAGGAAGGGGUAAAAUCCUUUGAUCUAUUGAUGACCACCUGUGGCGAAGGCGGUCUACCAGAACACGUCCGACGGUGAGGGAUGAAAGCUGGGGGAGCAAACCGGAUUAGAUACCCGGGUAGUCCCAGCUGUAAACGAUGCAGACUCGGUGAUGCACUGGCUUGUGGCCAGUGCAGUGUUGCAGGGAAGCCGUUAAGUUUGCCGCCUGGGAAGUACGUACGCAAGUAUGAAACUUAAAGGAAUUGGCGGGGGAGCAC
This 553-nucleotide ribosomal RNA is filed under the name uncultured crenarchaeote. RNAcentral describes it as "bacterial SSU rRNA". It matches the Rfam family "Archaeal small subunit ribosomal RNA", at positions 325 to 879 of the family's 1478-position model. Lineage: Archaea; Thermoproteati; Thermoproteota. The record is from RNAcentral.